Molecule: ribosomal RNA, 1711 nt
Filed under: Campylobacter hyointestinalis subsp. lawsonii
Lineage: Bacteria; Pseudomonadati; Campylobacterota; Epsilonproteobacteria; Campylobacterales; Campylobacteraceae
Description: bacterial LSU rRNA
Rfam family: Bacterial large subunit ribosomal RNA
Source: RNAcentral
GUGGUAGGAGAGCGUUCUAUUCAGCGUUGAAGGUAUACCGGUAAGGAGUGCUGGAGCGGAUAGAAGUGAGCAUGCAGGCAUGAGUAGCGAUAAAAGGGGUGAGAAUCCCCUUCGCCGUAAACCCAAGGUUUCCUACGCGAUGCUCGUCAUCGUAGGGUUAGUCGGGUCCUAAGCAAAGUCCGAAAGGGGUAUGCGAUGGAAAAUCGGUUAAUAUUCCGAUACCAAUAUUAGUGUGCGAUGGAAGGACGCUUAAAGUUAGUGGAGCUAGCGGAUGGAAGUGCUAGUCUAAGGAUGUAGAUUAAGUGGUAGGCAAAUCCGCCACUUUUUAUUCGAGAUCUUAAAGGCUCUCCAAAGUCUUCGGAUAGCGGGGAGAAUCCAUAAUACUAUCGAGCCAAGAAAAGUUUCUAAGUUUAGCUAAUAUUGCCCGUACCGUAAACCGACACAGGUGGGUGGGAUGAGUAUUCUAAGGCGCGUGGAAGAACUCUCUUUAAGGAACUCUGCAAAAUAGCACCGUAUCUUCGGUAUAAGGUGUGCCUAACUUUGUAUUAAGAUUUACUCCCAAAGCAAAGAAGGUUACAACAAAGAGUCCCUCCCGACUGUUUACCAUAAACACAGCACUCUGCUAACUCGUAAGAGGAUGUAUAGGGUGUGACGCCUGCCCGGUGCUCGAAGGUUAAUUGAUGGGGUUAGCAUUAGCGAAGCUCUUGAUCGAAGCCCGAGUAAACGGCGGCCGUAACUAUAACGGUCCUAAGGUAGCGAAAUUCCUUGUCGGUUAAAUACCGACCUGCAUGAAUGGCGUAACGAGAUGGGAGCUGUCUCAAAGAGGGAUCCAGUGAAAUUGUAGUGGAGGUGAAAAUUCCUCCUACCCGCGGCAAGACGGAAAGACCCCGUGGACCUUUACUACAGCUUGACACUGCUAUUUGGAUAAAGAUGCGCAGGAUAGGUGGGAGGCUUUGAUCCAUAGACUCCGGUUUAUGGUGAGCCAUUGUUGAGAUACCACUCUUCUUUAUUUGAGUAGCUAACUAGCUUGCGUUAUCCGCAAGUAGGACAAUGUCUGGUGGGUAGUUUGACUGGGGCGGUCGCCUCCCAAAAUGUAACGGAGGCUUACAAAGGUUGGCUCAGAACGGUUGGAAAUCGUUCGUAGAGUAUAAAGGCAUAAGCCAGCUUAACUGCAAGACAUACACGUCAAGCAGAGACGAAAGUCGGUCUUAGUGAUCCGGUGGUUCUGUGUGGAAGGGCCAUCGCUCAAAGGAUAAAAGGUACCCCGGGGAUAACAGGCUGAUCUCCCCCAAGAGCUCACAUCGACGGGGAGGUUUGGCACCUCGAUGUCGGCUCAUCGCAUCCUGGGGCUGGAGCAGGUCCCAAGGGUAUGGCUGUUCGCCAUUUAAAGCGGUACGCGAGCUGGGUUCAGAACGUCGUGAGACAGUUCGGUCCCUAUCUGCCGUGGGCGUAAGAAGAUUGAGGAGAGUUGACCCUAGUACGAGAGGACCGGGUUGAACCAGCCACUGGUGUAUCAGUUGUUCUGCCAAGAGCAUCGCUGAGUAGCUAAGCUGGGAUGUGAUAAGAGCUGAAAGCAUCUAAGCUCGAAGCCAACUCCAAGAUGAAUCUUCUUUUAAGAGCUCGGAAAGACUAUCCGUUUGAUAGGCUGGGUGUGUAAGUGAUGAAAGUCAUUUAGCUGACCAGUACUAAUAGCUCGUUUGCUUAUCUUUAU